Molecule: transfer RNA, 97 nt
Filed under: Lentisphaerae bacterium RIFOXYA12_FULL_48_11
Lineage: Bacteria; Pseudomonadati; Lentisphaerota
Description: tRNA-Sec
Rfam family: Selenocysteine transfer RNA
Source: RNAcentral
GGGAGUGAAAAGGUACCUGGUGGGCCUCCUGGACUUCAAAUCCAGUGUGGGGCUUUAAACGGUCCCGGUUGGGUUCGAUUCCCACUCACUCCCGCCA